RNAcentral lists this ribosomal RNA (709 nucleotides) under uncultured Lactobacillaceae bacterium. Its description in RNAcentral is "bacterial SSU rRNA". It matches the Rfam family "Bacterial small subunit ribosomal RNA", at positions 60 to 739 of the family's 1533-position model. The record is from RNAcentral. Lineage: Bacteria; Bacillati; Bacillota; Bacilli; Lactobacillales; Lactobacillaceae.
CGUUAAUUGAUCAGGACGUGCUUGCACUGAAUGAGAUUUUAACACGAAGUGAGUGGCGGACGGGUGAGUAACACGUGGGUAACCUGCCCAGAAGCAGGGGAUAACACCUGGAAACAGAUGCUAAUACCGUAUAACAGAGAAAACCGCCUGGUUUUCUUUUAAAAGAUGGCUCUGCUAUCACUUCUGGAUGGACCCGCGGCGCAUUAGCUAGUUGGUGAGGUAACGGCUCACCAAGGCGAUGAUGCGUAGCCGACCUGAGAGGGUAAUCGGCCACAUUGGGACUGAGACACGGCCCAGACUCCUACGGGAGGCAGCAGUAGGGAAUCUUCCACAAUGGACGCAAGUCUGAUGGAGCAACGCCGCGUGAGUGAAGAAGGGUUUCGGCUCGUAAAGCUCUGUUGUUAAAGAAGAACGUGGGUGAGAGUAACUGUUCACCCAGUGACGGUAUUUAACCAGAAAGCCACGGCUAACUACGUGCCAGCAGCCGCGGUAAUACGUAGGUGGCAAGCGUUAUCCGGAUUUAUUGGGCGUAAAGCGAGCGCAGGCGGUCUUUUAAGUCUAAUGUGAAAGCCUUCGGCUCAACCGAAGAAGUGCAUUGGAAACUGGGAGACUUGAGUGCAGAAGAGGACAGUGGAACUCCAUGUGUAGCGGUGAAAUGCGUAGAUAUAUGGAAGAACACCAGUGGCGAAGGCGGCUGUCUGGUCUGUAA